UAGGGAAUCUUCCGCAAUGGACGCAAGUCUGACGGAGCAACGCCGCGUGAGUGAAGAAGGAUUUCGGUUCGUAAAACUCUGUUGUUAGAGAAGAACAGCGCAUAGAGUAACUGUUAUGCGUGUGACGGUAUCUAACCAGAAAGCCACGGCUAACUACGUGCCAGCAGCCGCGGUAAUACGUAGGUGGCAAGCGUUGUCCGGAUUUAUUGGGCGUAAAGCGAGUGCAGGCGGUCAAUUAAGUCUGAUGUGAAAGCCCCCGCCUCAACCGGGGAGGGUCAUUGGAAACUGGUUGACUUGAGUGCAGAAGAGGAGAGUGGAAUUCCAUGUGUAGCGGUGAAAUGCGUAGAUAUAUGGAGGAACACCAGUGGCGAAGGCGACUCUCUGGUCUGUAACUGACGCUGAGGCUCGAAAGCCUGGGUAGCAAACAGG
Molecule: ribosomal RNA, 429 nt
Filed under: Bacteroidota bacterium
Lineage: Bacteria; Pseudomonadati; Bacteroidota
Description: Bacteroidetes bacterium partial 16S ribosomal RNA
Rfam family: Bacterial small subunit ribosomal RNA
Source: RNAcentral